RNAcentral lists this ribosomal RNA (262 nucleotides) under uncultured bacterium. Its description in RNAcentral is "partial 16S ribosomal RNA". It matches the Rfam family "Bacterial small subunit ribosomal RNA", at positions 57 to 305 of the family's 1533-position model. The record is from RNAcentral.
GCAAGUCGAGCGAGAAAGCUUCCUUCGGGGAGUGAGUAGAGCGGCGCACGGGUGAGUAACGCGUGGGUAACCUACCCAGUCGACUGGGAUAACAGAUGGAAACGUCUGCUAAUACCGGAUACGUUUCAUAUUUAACUUUAUGAAAGAAAGGUGGCCUCUAUUUAUAAGCUACCACGAUUGGAUGGGCCCGCGUUUCAUUAGCUUGAUGGUGGGGUAACGGCUCACCAUGGCAACGAUGAAUAGCUGGUCUGAGAGGAUGAUC